This 468-nucleotide ribosomal RNA is filed under the name uncultured bacterium. RNAcentral describes it as "partial 16S ribosomal RNA". It matches the Rfam family "Bacterial small subunit ribosomal RNA", at positions 28 to 507 of the family's 1533-position model. The record is from RNAcentral.
GAUGAACGCUGGCGGCGUGCUUAACACAUGCAAGUCGAACGGAAAGGCCCUGCUUUUGUGGGGUGCUCGAGUGGCGAACGGGUGAGUAACACGCGAGUAACCUGCCCCUGACUUUGGGAUAACUUCACGAAACUGGGGCUCAUACCGGAUAGGAGCUCCUGCUCCAUGGGGGGCGAUGGUAAGUUUCGGCUGUUGGGGCUGGUCUCGCGGCUUACCAGCUUGUUGGUGGAGUAGUGGCUUACCAAGGCUUUGACGGGUAGCCGGCCUGAGAGGGUGAACGGGCACAUUAGGACUGCGGGACGGCCCAGAGUCCAACGUGAGGCAGCAGUGGAAAAUAUUGCACAACAGGCGCAAGCCUGAGGCGGCAACGCCGCGUGCGGGAUGACGGCUUUCGGGUUGUAAACAGAUGUCGCAGGAGACAAAGAGUUAGUGACGGUAAUGGGUAAGGAAGCACCGGCUAACUACGUG